UUCCAUCAAAACAUUUUUGCUCAAUCUUCCACCUUCUAAGCUAAACCCAACCUCAAAAUUACCAUCACUUUUCAUCUCUUCCCAUGUUUGUAACCAAUCAAGAGAAGAUAUACAAGGUGCAACAAACAACACCUCACAUGCAAUUCUUGCUUCUGAGAAUCUUUCUGAAAAUUGUGACUCAAUUGAUUCCAACAAGGCCUUAUAAUGCAACAAAUUCCCUUCAUAAAAUGACUUAAAAUUCAUACUAUUUUUUAGUUUUUCAAAUGCUUCACCAUCACCAAAAGUAAUCAUUCCCUUGCUACCAUAGUUCUUG
RNAcentral lists this long non-coding RNA (313 nucleotides) under Lathyrus oleraceus (garden pea). RNAcentral's name for it is "Pisum sativum (pea) long non-coding RNA (PSAT_LNC010662)". The record is from RNAcentral. Lineage: Eukaryota; Viridiplantae; Streptophyta; Magnoliopsida; Fabales; Fabaceae.